UACGAAGGGGGCGAGCGUUGUUCGGAUUUACUGGGCGUAAAGGGCGCGCAGGCGGCUCAUUUUGUCAGGCGUGAAAGCCCCGGGCUUAACCUGGGAACUGCGUUUGAUACGGAUGGGCUAGAGUUCGGGAGAGGAGAGUGGAAUUCCCAGUGUAGAGGUGAAAUUCGUAGAUAUUGGGAAGAACACCGGUGGCGAAGGCGGCUCUCUGGACCGAUACUGACGCAUGAGGCGCGAAAGCGUGGGGAGCAAACAGG
This 254-nucleotide ribosomal RNA is filed under the name uncultured bacterium. RNAcentral's name for it is "partial 16S ribosomal RNA". It matches the Rfam family "Bacterial small subunit ribosomal RNA", at positions 524 to 776 of the family's 1533-position model. The record is from RNAcentral.